GGAUUGCGGUCACCUUUGUCAUGUCGAUAAGCCUCGGAAUGUUGUGAAGUUGAUUGCGGAUUUUGCUCGAGCCAAAUAACUCUGAGACCAAGAGCCAUUGCACCAGAUUUGCAGAAGGUAGAUGCUUUAGUAUCAGCAUUAGGGCUUUUUCAGUUCAAGUAAUAACUCAACUGUGGAUUUCUCUGUCUCUUAGUUAUCUUUUUUCUUGUAUAUAUACAUAAUAUAAAUAUUUUUUAAAAAGAAAGAAAUAAGAAAAAAAAUGGGAACUAUUGAUGGGUACUUUAAACUUUAAUGAGUAUUUAAUAAAUUAAUUAAUUCCUAAAUUAUGAGAAAAUUACAUAAUUUCUUAGAUGGUAAAAGGGGUUUUAAGAAACUAAGUAAACUUUAAAGGGUCUUUAAGAAAAUUAAUUAAUUUCUUAAGAGUUGCUUAAAACCUUAAAGGCCUUUUAAAAAAAUAACAAAAUCUUAAACCAUGAAAAGUUACUUAAUUUCUUACUAGUUCCAACCUUAAGAAAUUAAUUGGUAAACCAUGAAAUGAUUACGUAAAUCUUUAAUGUCUCAUUUAAUAAUACGAGAAAAAAAGUUUACUUAUUAUUACAAAUGUUUUACAAUAGUUACAUCAAAAUAAAGAACAAUUAGUUCAAAAUUAGGAAGAUGAGUACUAACUCUUGUAAAAAAUAAAACAUAUUAUUUCUACUUCUUGCUAAAAUUAAGUCAUGUAUUACCAAUUAAAUUAAUUCAUUACCGACUCAUAUUGUACAAAGCCCAAAUUUGCCCCAGCCCAACAAACUAAAUUAAACCCAAAAACAGCAAGCCCAAUGGCCCAAUCACCUAAAACGUUUCAGCAAAAAUGCCUAAUCCCCAACCCUAGGGCGCCGCAUCCCUUGCUGCUCCCAUGUGCGCCGUACGCUGCUGCCAUACCUGCCCUCUGACUCCCUGCAAGAUGAAAGAACACGCAAAGCAGAGACCAAGCAGUAGAAAAUAACAUUUUUAUUGUAUCAUUUGGAGGGAUAAAAAAGGCGGGAGAUCAUUAUCAAAAGGGGGGCUUCAUCACUGUAAUAUGAGGGGGGAUGUUUUUCUUCGUUUUUUUUUCGUUUCUUUCGGCAAAGACCGAAUACACUGUAAAAGGGGGUUCCUUUUUUAUGAGAUUGAAGAAAGAAGAAAACAAGAACAAGUUUCUAAAGCUUUUUUUUUUAAGAUUUGCAUCAUUUUCUUUCUGUCCAUCUUUUAUAUUCUUUUUUAUGUUUAGAUACUAAUAAUAAGAAUAAAAAGAGAGAAGAGGGAGAGAACUUACCGGAGUCGAUUCGCGUCUGUCGUCGGAGACUUCUUUUCCGGUGCCAAAAUGGAUCGUUGAGAACGUGAACGCCCCCUUUUUCUUGCUUUUUGGUUGUUUUGAGACUAGAUCCGGGCUCAGAGGGUUAGGGUCUAAAAAAGGGACCCUUUUUAAUCUCGCCGGCCACCGUGCACGGCGGCGCCGGCCGCGGGUGGCUACUGGUCGAAGCCCAGGUCGGAGAGGGGAAGGGUUUCAGAGGUUUUUGUAGUUUUUUUUCUGUGAUGGGGAAAGAAAUGAAAAAAAAUUAAAAAUUGGGUUUAAAUAGAGGAAGCGAAACCACAUAGUUUCAGCUGAGGACCUCAGAGCCAAAACGGCGCCGUUUUGAGCGACCCGCGCGUGACCCGACCCAUUACCAGGAGGAUCCGCGUGUUUUGUGACUAGGGUAUAAUUGCUACCCUAGUCCUUCCUCUUUAUUAACUCUUUUUAAUCAAGUUUUACAUUUUUUAAAUUUUUACCCCAUAAUUUUCCGCGAUCUCAGUUCGAUCCUUAUUUGAACGGCGCCGUUUUAGAGGAGAAGGGAAAAUUACCCUUCCAGCCCCUCUAUGUCAUUCGCGCAUUCAAACCAGUCCUUCCUCUUUUGUUUAUUUCGAAACUGCACUUUUUUUGUUUUUAUUUCAAUUUAGUCCAUGUUUUAGUUAUUUUAUUAUUUAAUUAAUUAUUUUUUAACAUUAUUAUUGCCACUACAUUACGUUAUUAUUAUCAUCAUUGUUAUUAUGCAUUUAUUUAUGUUAUCUUAAUUUCAAUUUUUCUGCUAUAUACAUACAUUCAUUCGGUUAUACGUACAUAAUUUUUAAUUUAUUUGUGUAUAUAUACUCAUAUAUAUUAUUUAUACUUUAUGCCUUAUAUACAUACAUAUAUGUACACAUGCACACAUGCGUUUCUACAAUACAUGUAUAUACGUACACGUAUAUUUCAUAACUUAUACAUAUACAUACAUAUAAAUGUCUUUCAUAUUUUAUAAUUUCAAAGAAUAUAUAUACAUACUCGUACAUGUUCCUUAUAUUUUAAAAAAAUAUAUUUAUAUAUAUAUUUAAAUCUUUUAUAACAAAUAUAUACGUACAUAUGUUUCUUUUAUAUUUUAUUUAACUUAUAUACAUAUAUAUGUAAAUAUUUAUUUUAAAAUUCAUAUGUAUAUAUCUCUACAUAUAUAUUUC
Molecule: long non-coding RNA, 2487 nt
Filed under: Gossypium barbadense (sea-island cotton)
Lineage: Eukaryota; Viridiplantae; Streptophyta; Magnoliopsida; Malvales; Malvaceae
Description: long non-coding RNA (GBAR_LNC018956)
Source: RNAcentral